This 232-nucleotide long non-coding RNA is filed under the name Arachis ipaensis. RNAcentral's name for it is "long non-coding RNA (AIPA_LNC000269)". Lineage: Eukaryota; Viridiplantae; Streptophyta; Magnoliopsida; Fabales; Fabaceae. The record is from RNAcentral.
CUCUGUCUCCAUUCUCUGUCUCUUUGCCUUUUCCUCUGCUGCUACUGCCUUGAGUUAUGCUGCCUCCGCCUUAACUUCUGCUGCCUCCGCCUUGAGUUUCACAAUCUCCAUCUGAUACUCCUCAAUCUGUACACCGUAGUCCGACUACUCUGGAAUGUUACGAAAACACCGACUCGGACAUGUACCAAUACCGAGUCCACGAACUCUUCUUGGGCGCUCUUUUCCAAGCACU